Molecule: ribosomal RNA, 1388 nt
Filed under: Lactiplantibacillus plantarum
Lineage: Bacteria; Bacillati; Bacillota; Bacilli; Lactobacillales; Lactobacillaceae
Description: bacterial SSU rRNA
Rfam family: Bacterial small subunit ribosomal RNA
Source: RNAcentral
CGAACUCUGGUAUUGAUUGGUGCUUGCAUCAUGAUUUACAUUUGAGUGAGUGGCGAACUGGUGAGUAACACGUGGGAAACCUGCCCAGAAGCGGGGGAUAACACCUGGAAACAGAUGCUAAUACCGCAUAACAACUUGGACCGCAUGGUCCGAGUUUGAAAGAUGGCUUCGGCUAUCACUUUUGGAUGGUCCCGCGGCGUAUUAGCUAGAUGGUGAGGUAACGGCUCACCAUGGCAAUGAUACGUAGCCGACCUGAGAGGGUAAUCGGCCACAUUGGGACUGAGACACGGCCCAAACUCCUACGGGAGGCAGCAGUAGGGAAUCUUCCACAAUGGACGAAAGUCUGAUGGAGCAACGCCGCGUGAGUGAAGAAGGGUUUCGGCUCGUAAAACUCUGUUGUUAAAGAAGAACAUAUCUGAGAGUAACUGUUCAGGUAUUGACGGUAUUUAACCAGAAAGCCACGGCUAACUACGUGCCAGCAGCCGCGGUAAUACGUAGGUGGCAAGCGUUGUCCGGAUUUAUUGGGCGUAAAGCGAGCGCAGGCGGUUUUUUAAGUCUGAUGUGAAAGCCUUCGGCUCAACCGAAGAAGUGCAUCGGAAACUGGGAAACUUGAGUGCAGAAGAGGACAGUGGAACUCCAUGUGUAGCGGUGAAAUGCGUAGAUAUAUGGAAGAACACCAGUGGCGAAGGCGGCUGUCUGGUCUGUAACUGACGCUGAGGCUCGAAAGUAUGGGUAGCAAACAGGAUUAGAUACCCUGGUAGUCCAUACCGUAAACGAUGAAUGCUAAGUGUUGGAGGGUUUCCGCCCUUCAGUGCUGCAGCUAACGCAUUAAGCAUUCCGCCUGGGGAGUACGGCCGCAAGGCUGAAACUCAAAGGAAUUGACGGGGGCCCGCACAAGCGGUGGAGCAUGUGGUUUAAUUCGAAGCUACGCGAAGAACCUUACCAGGUCUUGACAUACUAUGCAAAUCUAAGAGAUUAGACGUUCCCUUCGGGGACAUGGAUACAGGUGGUGCAUGGUUGUCGUCAGCUCGUGUCGUGAGAUGUUGGGUUAAGUCCCGCAACGAGCGCAACCCUUAUUAUCAGUUGCCAGCAUUAAGUUGGGCACUCUGGUGAGACUGCCGGUGACAAACCGGAGGAAGGUGGGGAUGACGUCAAAUCAUCAUGCCCCUUAUGACCUGGGCUACACACGUGCUACAAUGGAUGGUACAACGAGUUGCGAACUCGCGAGAGUAAGCUAAUCUCUUAAAGCCAUUCUCAGUUCGGAUUGUAGGCUGCAACUCGCCUACAUGAAGUCGGAAUCGCUAGUAAUCGCGGAUCAGCAUGCCGCGGUGAAUACGUUCCCGGGCCUUGUACACACCGCCCGUCACACCAUGAGAGUUUGUAACACC